RNAcentral lists this ribosomal RNA (306 nucleotides) under uncultured bacterium. RNAcentral's name for it is "bacterial SSU rRNA". It matches the Rfam family "Bacterial small subunit ribosomal RNA", at positions 28 to 327 of the family's 1533-position model. The record is from RNAcentral.
GACGAACGCUGGCGGCGUGCCUAACACAUGCAAGUGGAGCGACGAACCAGGCUUCGGCCUGGGGCAAAGCCGCGAACGGGUGAGUAACACGUGGGUAACCUGCCCUGAUGAUCGGGACAACCCGGGGAAACUCGGGCUAAUACCGAAUGUGCCCUCCGGCCUCAAGGCCGCUGGGGAAAGGAAGCUUCGGCCUCCGCAUCGGGAUGGGCCCGCGGCCCAUUAGCUUGUUGGUGAGGUAACGGCUCACCAAGGCGACGAUGGGUAGCUGGUCUGAGAGGACGAUCAGCCACACUGGGACUGAGACAC